AUAUAAAUGAUCAGAAAACUUUGACUUUGAUCGUGGAAUUUCUUAUUUCAGAGAUAAUAUUAGAUUAUUUGCGAAAAUGACUUUGUUUUUGCGCAGCAUAAUGACCAAAUACUCAUAUUAUAUAUUUUUAUUAUUAGCUUGCCACUAUCAGCUCCUACCAUUGCAGAGUAACCACCAUGUCCCCUAGAUACAGCUGUACUUUUCUAG
Molecule: long non-coding RNA, 207 nt
Organism: Octopus sinensis (East Asian common octopus)
Lineage: Eukaryota; Metazoa; Mollusca; Cephalopoda; Octopoda; Octopodidae
Exons: 3
Source: RefSeq, a predicted model, not a curated record